RNAcentral lists this ribosomal RNA (117 nucleotides) under Telimena bicincta. RNAcentral describes it as "partial 28S ribosomal RNA". Lineage: Eukaryota; Fungi; Ascomycota; Sordariomycetes; Phyllachorales; Telimenaceae. The record is from RNAcentral.
GGUUGACCUCGAAUCAGGUAGGAUUACCCGCUGAACUUAAGCAUAUCAAAACGCGGGGGAGAAUUUUCAAGGGGGGAGACAAAAGCAUACUCGGAGAAAUAAUCUUUGAUUGGCCCG